Molecule: long non-coding RNA, 657 nt
Filed under: Homo sapiens (human)
Lineage: Eukaryota; Metazoa; Chordata; Mammalia; Primates; Hominidae
Description: non-protein coding lnc-NDFIP2-15:1
Source: RNAcentral
GAGAGAUAGAAGCCACAAGGUACCAUUGCUCUUCUCCCAUUUUUUCAUUGAAACCCAAGGUGAGGAACAGAUGUAGAAUAAAAAGGACAGGUUAGUUGUAAAUUCAAAAGCAGGGACAGAAUGGAGUUGUGUCCUAUUUCCAGUUUGGGAUUCUGGUUGGAGGUAGCCUGGUGGAGCACCCAAGAGAUUCAGAAUUUCUCACAUGUCCCCAGUGAUACCGAAGGUUGAGAGUCAGCAGGUUUGUAAUGGGGCUGCAGUAGUGAAGGGAGCAAAGAACCCCUACCAGAAGUGGAAGAGAGGGCAGACUUGGUCAGGGUUCAGACGGAGCCCAGGGGUGAAGCUUAGAUGAUCUGAAGAGAGAAAUGAGGUUGGGCUGAGGUGCAGGAUGUGAACUGCUGGACUAUGGCUGGACUGAGGGAAGAAAUUAGCAUGAUACUAGUUGUAAAACUUCACAAGCAGAUGCAGAGAUGAUAGCGACCAACAUGAACACAGGUAAAGUGAGUUUACCUCAGCCAAGAGCCAAUGGGAGCCAGAGAGGAGCAUGGGGCUGGUUUAACCCCUGGGGUCCUGCCACAAUACCAUAAGGAUAUAUAAGUGUCUUCUUGUACACACAUAUUUUCUAGGAAAUCUUUCACUCAGGUGAGAUAGCUUAAUGAG